AUACGUAGGGUGCAAGCGUUAAUCGGAAUUACUGGGCGUAAAGCGUGCGCAGGCGGUUUUGUAAGACAGUGGUGAAAUCCCCGGGCUCCACCUGGGAACUGCCAUUGUGACUGCAAGGCUGGAGUGCGGCAGAGGGGGAUGGAAUUCCGCGUGUAGCAGUGAAAUGCGUAGAUAUGCGGAGGAACACCGAUGGCGAAGGCAAUCCCCUGGGCCUGCACUGACGCUCAUGCACGAAAGCGUGGGGAGCAAAUAGGAUUAGAUACCCUGGUAGUCCACGCCCUAAACGAUGUCAACUGGUUGUUGGGGAUUUAUUUUCUCAGUAACGAAGCUAACGCGUGAAGUUGACCGCCUGGGGAGUACGGCCGCAAGGUUAAAACUCAAAGGAAUUGACGGGG
This 395-nucleotide ribosomal RNA is filed under the name uncultured bacterium. Its description in RNAcentral is "partial 16S ribosomal RNA". It matches the Rfam family "Bacterial small subunit ribosomal RNA", at positions 523 to 918 of the family's 1533-position model. The record is from RNAcentral.